AUCGAACGCUGGCGGCAUGCUUUACACAUGCAAGUCGAACGGUAACAGCCCGCCAGGUGCUGCCGGGUGGCGAACGGGGGGGUAAUGCGCCGUAACGUGCCCAGUCGCUGGGGGUAACUACUCGUAAGAGCAGCUAAUACCUCCUACGAUCUGUGUAUGAAAGCGUGGGUCCGUCCGGCCUCGCGCGAUUGGAUCGGCCGAUGUCAGAUUAGCUAGUUGGUGGUGUAAAGGCGCUCUAAGGCAACGAUCUGUAGCUGGUCUGAGAGGACAACCCGCCACACGGGGAGUGAGAAACGGCCCAGACACCGACGGGAGGCAACAGUGGGGAAUCUUAGGCAAUGGGGGAAAGCCUGAUACAGCAAAGCCGCGGGAAGGAAGAAGGCGUUAGGGUGGGAAAGUGAUGUAGUACGGAACGAAACGGAGCUCGUUAACACCCGAGGAUAAUGACGGUACCGGAAGAAUAAGCACCGGCUAACUACGUG
RNAcentral lists this ribosomal RNA (482 nucleotides) under uncultured bacterium. RNAcentral describes it as "partial 16S ribosomal RNA". It matches the Rfam family "Bacterial small subunit ribosomal RNA", at positions 29 to 507 of the family's 1533-position model. The record is from RNAcentral.